UACAGAGGGUGCAAGCGUUGUUCGGAAUUAUUGGGCGUAAAGGGCGCGUAGGCGGUGCUGUAAGUCUGUGGUGAAAUCUCUGGGCUCAACUCAGAGUCUGCCAUAGAAACUGCAGUGCUUGAGUGUGGGAGAGGCGCGUGGAAUUGCAGGUGUAGCGGUGAAAUGCGUAGAUAUCUGCAGGAACACCCGUGGCGAAAGCGGCGCGCUGGACCACUACUGACGCUGAGGAACGAAAGCUAGGGGAGCAAACAGG
Molecule: ribosomal RNA, 253 nt
Filed under: uncultured bacterium
Lineage: Bacteria
Description: partial 16S ribosomal RNA
Rfam family: Bacterial small subunit ribosomal RNA
Source: RNAcentral